GAUGAACGCUGGCGGCGUGCUUAACACAUGCAAGUCGAACGGAAAGACGCUGCUUUUGUGGGGUUCUCGAGUGGCGCGCGGGUGAGAAACACAUGAGUAUCCUGCCCUUGACUUUGGGAUAACUUCACGAGACUGGGGCUAAUACCGGAUAUGAGCUCCUGCUGCAUGGUGGUCGUUGGAAAUUUUCGGCGGUUGGGGAUGGACUCGCGGCUUAUCAGCUAGUUGGUCGAGUAGUGGCUUACCAAGGGAUUGACGGAUAGCCCGCCUGAGAGCGUGACCGGCCACAUGGGGACUACGAGACGCAGCAGACGCGAAUGGGAGGCAGUAGUGGGGAGUAUGGCACAGCGACGGGAAGUGUGAGGCAGAAAUGUCCCGUGCGUAAAGCCGGCUUACGGGUGGUAAACCGCUGUCGCCUGUGACGAAGCGGUAGUGACGGUAAUGGGUAAAGAAGCACCGGCUAACUACGUG
Molecule: ribosomal RNA, 468 nt
Filed under: uncultured bacterium
Lineage: Bacteria
Description: partial 16S ribosomal RNA
Rfam family: Bacterial small subunit ribosomal RNA
Source: RNAcentral